RNAcentral lists this ribosomal RNA (1092 nucleotides) under Triticum aestivum (bread wheat). Its description in RNAcentral is "partial small subunit ribosomal RNA". Lineage: Eukaryota; Viridiplantae; Streptophyta; Magnoliopsida; Poales; Poaceae. The record is from RNAcentral.
AUGAAGCGCUUCUUCCAGCCCGUGCUCAAGGACGGAUCCCCCGCCAAGAAGAGGCCCGCCGGAGCGGCGACCUCUGACUGCGUUGAUGGCCCCGCCCCCACCGCGGCCGACGCCGGCGGGGACGGCCCUCCCGGCGAGGAGCCACGCAGGUUCGUCACGUGGAACGCCAACAGCCUUCUGCUCCGGAUGAAGAGCGACUGGCCCGCGUUCUGUCAGUUCGUCGCCCGCGUCGACCCCGACGUCAUCUGCGUCCAGGAAGUGCGGAUGCCAGCAGCUGGUUCCAAAGGGGCACCUAAAAAUCCUAGUGAGCUAAAAGACGACACAACCUCAUCACGUGAAGAAAAACAGACAGUGUUGCGUGCUUUGUCGAGUUCACCUUUCAAAGACUACCGUGUCUGGUGGUCCCUUUCAGAUUCCAAGUACGCAGGCACAGCUGUGUUUAUGAAGAAGAAGUUUGAACCAAAGAAAGUGUCAUUCAACUUGGAUAGAACAUACGGCCGUGUCAUCAUUGUGGAAUUUGAAUCAUUCUUGUUACUAAACACAUAUGCUCCAAACAACGGGUGGAAAGAGGAGGAAAAUUCAUUUCAAAGAAGAAGAAAGUGGGAUAAAAGAAUGUUGGAGUUUGUUCAACAAGUAAACAAGCCCUUAAUCUGGUGCGGAGAUCUGAACGUUAGUCAUGACGAAAUCGAUGUCAGCCAUCCUGAUUUUUUUAGCGAUGCUAAGCUCAAUGGAUAUAUCCCUCCAAAUAAAGAGGACUGUGGACAGCCUGGAUUCACCCUUGCAGAGAGACAGCGUUUUGGCAAUAUAUUGUCGCAGGGAAAGCUGGUAGAUGCUUACAGAUACCUGCACAAAGAAAAAGACAUGGAGUGUGGCUUCUCUUGGUCUGGGAAUCCAGUUGGGAAGUACCGAGGAAAGAGAAUGCGGAUUGACUAUUUUGUUGUUUCAGAAGGGUUGAAGGACAGAAUUGUUUCAUGUGAAAUGCAUGGUCAUGGAAUUGAACUGGAAGGAUUUUAUGGAAGUGAUCACUGUCCUGUUUCACUUGAGCUCUCCAAAGAAGCAGCGGAAGCACCAGAAUCGAAGAGCUCCGGCUAA